RNAcentral lists this ribosomal RNA (253 nucleotides) under uncultured bacterium. RNAcentral describes it as "partial 16S ribosomal RNA". It matches the Rfam family "Bacterial small subunit ribosomal RNA", at positions 524 to 776 of the family's 1533-position model. The record is from RNAcentral.
UACGUAGGGUGCAAGCGUUAAUCGGAUUUACUGGGCGUAAAGCGCGCGCAGGCGGUCGUUCAAGUCGAGUGUGAAAGCCCCCGGCUCAACUGGGGAGGGUCACUCGAUACUGAUCGACUUGAAGGCAGAAGAGGGAAGCGGAAUUCCCGGUGUAGUGGUGAAAUGCGUAGAUAUCGGGAGGAACACCAGUGGCGAAGGCGGCUUUCUGGUCUGUUCUUGACGCUGAGGCGCGAAAGCUAGGGUAGCAAACGGG